UAUCUGCCAGAUUAUUCCUCAUGUCUCAGUGCAAGCCGUAUUCCGGCGAUACCGCGAAUGGCUCAAUAUAUCAGUUUUGGUUCCUUAGAUCUUACUCAGUUACUUGGAUAACUGUGGUAAUUCUAGAGCUAAUACAUGCAAUCAGAACUCUGACCAGUGAUGGGAUGAGUGCUUUUAUUAGAUCAAAACCAAUCGACGGAGGGCCUCGCGUCCGAAGUCGUAACAUUUUGAUGAAUCUGGAUAACUUUUGCCGAUCGCACGGUCCAGUACCGGCGACGCAUCUUUCAAAUGUCUGCCUUAUCAACUCUCGAUGGUAGUUUCUGCGACUACCAUGGGUUGUCACGGGUAACGGGGAAUCAGGGUUCGAUUCCGGAGAGGGAGCCUGAGAACGGCUACCACAUCCAAGGAAGGCAGCAGGCGCGCAAAUUACCACUCCCCGGCACGGGGGAGGUAGUGACGAAAAAUAACGAUACGGGACUCUUACGAGGCUCGUAAUCGGAAUGAGUACACUUUAAUAUUUUACGAGGACAAUUGGAGGCAAGUCUGGGCCACCACCCCGGUAAUCCACUCCAUAGCGUAUACUAAAUUGUGCGGUAAAACUCGAAUUGAUUUGGCCCCCCUGCGGGGCCCCUCCCGGGACUGAACUUUGGGAAAUUUAUUCAACCCGGAAAUUUCCCCAGGCCCGCCCCCGGAAGGAUUGACAGAUUAACAGUCUUUCUUGAUUCGUGGGUGGUGGUGCAUGGCCGUUCUAAGUGGUGGAGCGAUUUUUUGGUUAAUUCCGGUAACGAACGAGACUAUAGCCUGCUAAAUAGGCGUCGUCAUUUAGGUGCGUGUCGCUGUGCCGGCAACGGUUGCAGCGCACAACUCACUGGCGACGUAUUAAAAUUCUUAUUAGAGGGACCCGGCGGCUUCGAGCCGCACGAGAUUGAGCAAUAACAGGUCUGUGAUGCCCUUAGAUGUCCUGGGCCGCACGCGCGCUACACUGAAGGAAUCAACAUGUUCUCCCUGGCCUAGAGGCCCGGGCAACCCGUUGAAACUCCCUUCGUGCUGGGGAUUGGGGUUUGCAAUUAUCCCCCAUAAACGAGGAAUUCCUAGUAAGCGCGAGUCAUAAGCUCGCGUUGAUUACGUCCCUGCCCUUUGUACACACCGCCCGUCGCUACUACCGAUUGAAUGAUUUAGUGAGGUCUUCGGACCGACACGCGGUGGCUUCACGGCCGUCGGCGUUGCUGGGAAGAGACCAAACUUGAUCAUUAGGAGAAGAAAAGCGACAAGU
RNAcentral lists this ribosomal RNA (1273 nucleotides) under Hyblaea puera (teak defoliator). RNAcentral's name for it is "partial 18S ribosomal RNA". It matches the Rfam family "Eukaryotic small subunit ribosomal RNA". Lineage: Eukaryota; Metazoa; Arthropoda; Insecta; Lepidoptera; Hyblaeidae. The record is from RNAcentral.